Molecule: ribosomal RNA, 430 nt
Filed under: Chloroflexota bacterium
Lineage: Bacteria; Bacillati; Chloroflexota
Description: Chloroflexi bacterium partial 16S ribosomal RNA
Rfam family: Bacterial small subunit ribosomal RNA
Source: RNAcentral
UAGGGAAUCUUCGGCAAUGGACGAAAGUCUGACCGAGCAACGCCGCGUGAGUGAAGAAGGUUUUCGGAUCGUAAAACUCUGUUGUUAGAGAAGAACAAGGAUGAGAGUAGAACGUUCAUCCCUUGACGGUAUCUAACCAGAAAGCCACGGCUAACUACGUGCCAGCAGCCGCGGUAAUACGUAGGUGGCAAGCGUUGUCCGGAUUUAUUGGGCGUAAAGCGAGCGCAGGCGGUUUCUUAAGUCUGAUGUGAAAGCCCCCGGCUCAACCGGGGAGGGUCAUUGGAAACUGGGAAACUUGAGUGCAGAAGAGGAGAGUGGAAUUCCAUGUGUAGCGGUGAAAUGCGUAGAUAUAUGGAGGAACACCAGUGGCGAAGGCGGCUCUCUGGUCUGUAACUGACGCUCAGGUGCGAAAGCGUGGGGAGCAAACAGG